Molecule: ribosomal RNA, 469 nt
Filed under: uncultured Desulfobulbus sp.
Lineage: Bacteria; Pseudomonadati; Thermodesulfobacteriota; Desulfobulbia; Desulfobulbales; Desulfobulbaceae
Description: bacterial SSU rRNA
Rfam family: Bacterial small subunit ribosomal RNA
Source: RNAcentral
CCCGGCGACAAGCGGUGGAGUAUGUGGUUUAAUUCGAUGCAACGCGAAGAACCUUACCUGGUCUUGACAUCCCGGAGACCCUUAGGAAACUAGGGGUGCUUCCAUCUGGAAGAAUCUGGAGACAGGUGCUGCAUGGCUGUCGUCAGCUCGUGUCGUGAGAUGUUGGGUUAAGUCCCGCAACGAGCGCAACCCUUGCCUUUAGUUGCCAGCAGUUCGGCUGGGCACUCUAAAGGGACUGCCGGUGUUAAACCGGAGGAAGGUGGGGAUGACGUCAAGUCCUCAUGGCCUUUAUGACCAGGGCUACACACGUACUACAAUGGCCGAUACAAAGGGCAGCGACACUGCGAGGUGAAGCCAAUCCCGUAAAAUCGGUCUCAGUCCGGAUUGGAGUCUGCAACUCGACUCCAUGAAGUUGGAAUCGCUAGUAAUCGUGGAUCAGCAUGCCACGGUGAAUACGUUCCCGGGCCUU